UUGGCUACUUCAGCUUCUUUCUCUUCUUCUUCUUUUUAAAUAAACACUAAUAAAACAGGAUUGAUAUCUCUUGAAAGUUCUAGUGAAGCAGGGAGGUUUUCCAGAAGGUGGUUGGAUCCCUUUAUUAAAAGCAUCUGUGCCACGGCCACUGGCAGAAGCCCAAACAUCCUGAAGUGGACGGCUCUGGGAAAUCAGAAAGAUAGAACACAGCCAAAUUCUAAGAUGGAACAAAUCGUAAAGUCAUACUGCAUCUUAAUUUGAUGACCCACAGGAAAGGUUUUUCUGCCUCAUCAAGUCUAUAAAGCAAGGUAUUUAUGGUUUUCUUGAGCACUUAAUAGGUAACAAGAGUAAUGUAUAAUGAUGCUAUUACACUGACUUAACAUAGACUGUUUCUUAAGGUAUGUUGUUAAUUUUACUACUUUGAUUUUCUCCAUGUGUGAUUGAUUUUGCAUUCAUUGUUUCAUAAUAUAUAUCCAGCCUCAGUAAAGCAUUCCAAAAGCAGAAGCAAGCAAGCACUUAGGGAAUAUUCACAUUAAAGAAGUCUUGUAACUCAAAAGAUGAAAAAUGCCAUGUAUCUCCUCUCCAAUAUGGUAAUUAACAGCUGAAAGUCAACUCUGGAUCAUCUGUAUAGUGGGGCAGUAAAGGGCAUAUAAAAUCAUAAAUAAACCCAGACUGGUUUUUGUUUUGGAAUGGCUCCUGUACUUCCAUAUGAAUAAGAGAGUGACUCACCCCCUUGGGAAUUCACAGUACAUCAAACCAAAUUAGGAAGCCAGGCAGCUGUGACCUGGUUUUGUAAGGGCCAAGAAAACUACAGAGUUUCACUACUGAACCUAGUAACUCAAAAUGAUUCCCUGGUUCCCAUGCCAUUUGAUACAUGGGUGUACCUUACUGACUCAUAUAAAAUGCCACUCUGGGCUUGUGUUUUCUCUUACCUUACCCAGAGUUGUAUGUGAGGAAAUAAAGGCUUGAGAGAUCUUGAGGUGGCAGUUUACAGGAGGGUAAAAGGAAACAGGAGUUAGAAUAAACAAUGUUAGUAAAAACUUGGAUGCAAGAUUGACCUUAUGCAAUCUCUAAGGUAAAUCCCCAAGAUUUAUUUCAUAUAACUACAGUAAAAAUAACCCUCAUGAAUUGAGUUCUAAUACUAAUGCUCAUUUCAGGUACAUUGAAUUGAAUGAGGGAGAGAGUUCUAAACUGCUUGUUCUCAGUCUACUCCAGGUAAAGCUUACAAAACUGCCUGUUGGGUUCUUUCAUCGUUAUUGUUGCCACUGGAAGGGCUUUUACCACCACUUUUGAACUCUACAGCCUCCUGAAUAUAUCUGUCCAUCUAAGAAAAGGAUUAAAUUCAAGAUAACCCUUGUCAUCUGCAUGCUGCCACAUGGUUAGGAUGAAGACUGACACACGAGACAAGUGAUGGAGUGUCACAGCCACAGAGGGGCACAUCAACCUGAUACAAGAGAAAUGGAGCGAGGAGAGGUGACUGUCUCAGGGGAGUGAUAGUCUUUCUGGGGAGGAAUUCUCAAACCCAAGUCCUUGUUUUGUUUUGCUUUUCCUUGGCAAUGAGAUUAUCUUGGAGGUAAAAUUGUGUAAAUGUGGACAACUGAGUAAAGGCAAACUACACAGAGAGUAGUGGAAAUAAGGAAUGGGAGAGGUGGAAAAGUAAAAGUAAACACAUGCUAAUGAUUCAGUGUUAAUUUUGUCAGGUUAAAUCACAGAAUUUGGAAAGAAAAAGGGCAUCCAACAGCCUUAAAGAUGAAGAAAUGGAAGCUCCAGAGUUGAAGAAAUGUGUCUUCACUCCCACAAGUAAUCUUGAAGUUCCGAGCCACCAUGAGAGUUUUCCUGACACUGAGGUAAUUUCCUACCAUGUUGACACCACCUUGCGCCAGUGUUCAAGACCAUCACAGCUAUGAACCUUGUUGGCUUGUAUCAGAUGCCUGCUGGGACCUUGGCUGCCCAUAGUGCUCUCUAAAGACUCCAGCUUUCCAUAACUCCUACAGUUUUAAGUUCAAGGAAUGAUGAAGAGGACGCCAAUGUACGGAUUUGAUUUACCAAAUCAGGCCUGUACAGCAGCUGAAUCAACCUAUGGGAAAAUUUUGGCUCUCUUUAACAUUCUAAUUUUUGAGAACACCAUUGCAAAUACAUGAUUUCCAAAAUAAUAACAAUGCACUUAAUUAAUCACAUUAUAGAUCAUCAUAUAAAAAUAAAUACCUAAAUAGAAAUACAAUUUAUUUUUUUCUUAAAUUCCAAAUUGCAUAGAGCUGCCUCCUCUGCAGUUUUCCAUCACUGCCUCCUUCUCAGACUUCUCCUUUUGUUUUUUCAUUUCUUUGUACAGACUCCAGUCAUUUGUUUAAAUAUUCAUACUCAACCAGAAUACGUUUCCUAAUGUGGGAAUCAUUGCUUAUUCACAGGCACAGCCCUUGACAUCCUGAAAACAUGUAGUAAUGAUUUUUGGAAUAAAGGUUUGACACUUCUACAUUUACAUGUAAAUGGAGUUAAAAAAUUCUAGGUUGAGAAUAAGAAUACUAUAAAAAUUUUGAUCUAAAAUGGAUGUUAGAGAUAACCCAGCGCAACCAGUUGCUCUUACAAUUGAGGAAACUGAGGUCAAGAAUGAGUGAGUGGCUCAGAGUCACCCAGCUCAUUAGAGCCUGAAUGAACCACCUUGGUUCACUACCUCUGUUCACCGCCCUUUCUAGUGCACUUCAUGAAAUCACUCUCUAAGUACACAUCAACUCAUUUAGAUACUUAAAUGAUUCUUGAGAAAGUAGAAAGUAUAAAUGCCUUGACCACACAUAAGAACUUUGACAUAUUUCACUCUCUGUACUGAAAUUUCUAACAAUGCCUGGUACAUAAUAGGUAUUCAGUUGAUUUGGGUUUCUACAUCCCUUUUCUCCUUCUCUUCUUCAAGUUUGCAUGUAAACCACAUUAAAGACUGCUAAUAUAUAAAGUAGGCACCAUCUCAUGAAUCAAAGAGGGGAUUCCUAGAGCCACUGAGGAUGUCUUUAGAAGCCAGUGGUGCUGAUCCCACAGCUACUCUCCUGUGGACAGUGGAAGUGCUCCCCAAAGUACAUUCUUAGGGGAAAUGGGGCUGCCGCCAUGAGGAGGUGUCAAUAGAGAUUAGAGAUGGUCUUUGUGCUGUGAGAGAGACCUCACAUUUCCAAAUGCCAAGUCCUUUCUUCCUCAGUCAAAUGUACCCCCUAGAACAUAGAUACCUACUAAGCUGUAGAUUUUUGAGGGGAUACAGAGCUGAAUCCAUAAGAUAGUGGAUUAUUCAGAUAAGAAUUUCUGUAGAUAGAGAGUUUCCAAUCAAUUAUGUACCCCAACAAUGUGAGGUCAACUACUUAGACUACCUCUUAGCUUCUACAUUUAGAUGUUUCAAAGUCUGUUCUGAUCCUUAAAUUUGACACUUCUCUUUAAUAUAAACAAAGCCCUUUUAGUAUUCUUUGGGAUUAGCUUACCACUUAAUAAAUUCCUUCCAACACUAUCUUCUGUGAGUCAACAAACAGCUUCCUCCUGUGAUUUGGGCCUGGCUAACAACAAGUUAGACUUCAGACGAAUAAUUACUAGGCUGAGGCAUUUUCCAGGUGGUACAUUCCCACUUUGAGGAAACUUGGUCAUUUUACUUUUGCAUUUAAGAUGUCCUUAGGCUGAAAAUAAAGUGUCAGUGUUUGAAAUGUCCUUCUCUGUAUCAUUGACUUGAUUUUUAGAUAAUAUUUCAGGCUGGACUGACACCAAAAGUGCUUUUCAAAAACACAUGAAAAGACCAAAAUUAUUUAAAUAAUUUACAAUAUAUGAAAGGUAGUAAAUUCUAGGCAAACAUUUUAACUAGGUUUUUAUGGAGAACUGACAGUGAGUAGCUUUGUGCUGAACCCUGUGUAAGGCAUUAAAUGAUGCACUCGUGUAAUUAUUUUCCCUAAAUUAAUGCCUGUCCCUGACACAUCUUAGACUUUUCCACCCUUGCCCUAAAUAACUUAAUUAAAAAAAAAAAUUCUCCCAGCUAA
RNAcentral lists this long non-coding RNA (3995 nucleotides) under Homo sapiens (human). Its description in RNAcentral is "HSALNT0337185". Lineage: Eukaryota; Metazoa; Chordata; Mammalia; Primates; Hominidae. The record is from RNAcentral.